GUGCUCACUCCGGCAGCACAUAUACUAAAAUUGGAACAAUUCAGAGAAGAUUAACAUGGCGCCUGCACAAGGAUGACACGCGAAUAUGUGAAAAAGAAGUGUU
This 103-nucleotide small nuclear RNA is filed under the name Octodon degus (degu). The record is from RNAcentral. Lineage: Eukaryota; Metazoa; Chordata; Mammalia; Rodentia; Octodontidae.